Molecule: microRNA precursor, 66 nt
Filed under: Nannospalax galili (Upper Galilee mountains blind mole rat)
Lineage: Eukaryota; Metazoa; Chordata; Mammalia; Rodentia; Spalacidae
Source: RNAcentral
GAAGAUAGGUUAUCCGUGUUGCCUUCGCUUUAUUUGUGACGAAUCAUACACGGUUGACCUAUUUUU